RNAcentral lists this ribosomal RNA (401 nucleotides) under uncultured bacterium. Its description in RNAcentral is "bacterial SSU rRNA". It matches the Rfam family "Bacterial small subunit ribosomal RNA", at positions 355 to 773 of the family's 1533-position model. The record is from RNAcentral.
UCGGGAAUUUUGGGCAAUGGGCGAAAGCCUGACCCAGCAACGCCGCGUGAGGGAUGAAGUAUUUCGGUAUGUAAACCUCGAAAGAAUGGGAAGAAUAAAUGACGGUACCAUUUAUAAGCUCCGGCUAACUACGUGCCAGCAGCUGCGGUAAUACGUAGGGAGCAAGCGUUGUUCGGAUUUACUGGGCGUAAAGGGCGCGUAGGCGGCGCGGUAAGUCACUUGUGAAAUCUCUGAGCUUAACUCAGAACGGCCAAGUGAUACUGCUGUGCUAGAGUGCGGAAGAGGCAACCGGAAUUCUUGGUGUAGCGGUGAAAUGCGUAGAUAUCAAGAGGAACACCUGAGGCGAAGGCGGGUUGCUGGGCCGACACUGACGCUGAUGCGCGAAAGCCAGGGGAGCAAAC